This 497-nucleotide ribosomal RNA is filed under the name uncultured bacterium. Its description in RNAcentral is "partial 16S ribosomal RNA". It matches the Rfam family "Bacterial small subunit ribosomal RNA", at positions 28 to 507 of the family's 1533-position model. The record is from RNAcentral.
GAUGAACGCUGGCGGCGUGCCUAAUACAUGCAAGUCGAGCGAACAGAUGAGGAGCUUGCUCCUCUGACGUUAGCGGCGGACGGGUGAGUAACACGUGGAUAACCUACCUAUAAGACUGGGAUAACUUCGGGAAACCGGAGCUAAUACCGGAUAAUAUAUUGAACCGCAUGGUUCAAUAGUGAAAGACGGUUUUGCUGUCACUUAUAGAUGGAUCCGCGCCGCAUUAGCUAGUUGGUAAGGUAACGGCUUACCAAGGCAACGAUGCGUAGCCGACCUGAGAGGGUGAUCGGCCACACUGGAACUGAGACACGGUCCAGACUCCUACGGGAGGCAGCAGUAGGGAAUCUUCCGCAAUGGGCGAAAGCCUGACGGAGCAACGCCGCGUGAGUGAUGAAGGUCUUCGGAUCGUAAAACUCUGUUAUUGGGGAAGAACAAAUGUGUAGGUAACUAUGCACGUCUUGACGGUACCUAAUCAGAAAGCCACGGCUAACUACGUG